This 69-nucleotide transfer RNA is filed under the name Marmota monax (woodchuck). RNAcentral describes it as "tRNA.Ala". It matches the Rfam family "tRNA". From Rfam's summary of the family: Transfer RNA (tRNA) molecules are approximately 80 nucleotides in length. Their secondary structure includes four short double-helical elements and three loops (D, anti-codon, and T loops). Further hydrogen bonds mediate the characteristic L-shaped molecular structure. tRNAs have two regions of fundamental functional importance: the anti-codon, which is responsible for specific mRNA codon recognition, and the 3' end, to which the tRNAs corresponding amino acid is attached (by aminoacyl-tRNA synthetases). tRNAs cope with the degeneracy of the genetic code in two manners: having more than one tRNA (with a specific anti-codon) for a particular amino acid; and 'wobble' base-pairing, i.e. permitting non-standard base-pairing at the 3rd anti-codon position. Lineage: Eukaryota; Metazoa; Chordata; Mammalia; Rodentia; Sciuridae. The record is from RNAcentral.
GGGGUUGUUGCUCAGUGGUAGAGUGCUCGCCUCGCAAGUGAGACCCUGGGUUCGAUCCUCAGCACCACA